Oreochromis aureus is the source of this 119-nucleotide ribosomal RNA. Lineage: Eukaryota; Metazoa; Chordata; Actinopteri; Cichliformes; Cichlidae. The record is from Ensembl.
GCUUACGGCCAUACCACCCUGAGCAUGCCCGAUCUCGUCUGAUCUCGCAAGCUAAGCAGCGUUGGGCUUGGUUAGUACUUGGAUUGUAGACUGCCUGGGAAUACCAGGUGCUGUAAGCU